This 597-nucleotide ribosomal RNA is filed under the name uncultured yeast. RNAcentral's name for it is "eukaryotic LSU rRNA". It matches the Rfam family "Eukaryotic large subunit ribosomal RNA", at positions 38 to 649 of the family's 3401-position model. Lineage: Eukaryota; Fungi. The record is from RNAcentral.
GCAUAUCAAUAAGCGGAGGAAAAGAAACCAACCGGGAUUGCCUUAGUAACGGCGAGUGAAGCGGCAAAAGCUCAAAUUUGAAAUCUGGUACCUUCGGUGCCCGAGUUGUAAUUUGGAGAGGGCAACUUUGGGGCCGUUCCUUGUCUAUGUUCCUUGGAACAGGACGUCAUAGAGGGUGAGAAUCCCGUGUGGCGAGGAGUGCGGUUCUUUGUAAAGUGCCUUCGAAGAGUCGAGUUGUUUGGGAAUGCAGCUCUAAGUGGGUGGUAAAUUCCAUCUAAAGCUAAAUAUUGGCGAGAGACCGAUAGCGAACAAGUACAGUGAUGGAAAGAUGAAAAGAACUUUGAAAAGAGAGUGAAAAAGUACGUGAAAUUGUUGAAAGGGAAGGGCAUUUGAUCAGACAUGGUGUUUUGUGCCCUCUGCUCCUUGUGGGUAGGGGAAUCUCGCAUUUCACUGGGCCAGCAUCAGUUUUGGUGGCAGGAUAAAUCCAUAGGAAUGUAGCUUGCCUCGGUAAGUAUUAUAGCCUGUGGGAAUACUGCCAGCUGGGACUGAGGACUGCGACGUAAGUCAAGGAUGCUGGCAUAAUGGUUAUAUGCCGCC